RNAcentral lists this ribosomal RNA (268 nucleotides) under uncultured bacterium. Its description in RNAcentral is "partial 16S ribosomal RNA". It matches the Rfam family "Bacterial small subunit ribosomal RNA", at positions 28 to 293 of the family's 1533-position model. The record is from RNAcentral.
GACGAACGCUGGCGGCGUGCUUAACACAUGCAAGUCGAGCGGUAAGGCCCUUUCGGGGGUACGACGAGCGGCGAACGGGUGAGUAACACGUGGGUGACCUGCCCUCCAGCUCUGGGAUAAGCCGUGGGAAACCGGGUCGUAAUACCGGAUAUGACUCCAUGACGCAUGUUGUGGGGUGGAAAGCCUUGUGCGGCUGAGGAUGGGCCCGCGGCCUAUCAGCUUGUUGGUGGGGUGAUGGCCUACCAAGGCGACGACGGGUAGCCGGCCU